RNAcentral lists this microRNA precursor (75 nucleotides) under Anisakis simplex (herring worm). Its description in RNAcentral is "mir-252 microRNA precursor family". It matches the Rfam family "mir-252 microRNA precursor family". The record is from Rfam by way of RNAcentral. Lineage: Eukaryota; Metazoa; Nematoda; Chromadorea; Rhabditida; Anisakidae.
ACACCAAGCUAAGUAGUAGUGCCGCAGGUGAAUGGUUUAUUCAAAUUACCUGCACUCUGCUGCUUAACUUGGAUU